Molecule: long non-coding RNA, 440 nt
Organism: Sinocyclocheilus grahami
Lineage: Eukaryota; Metazoa; Chordata; Actinopteri; Cypriniformes; Cyprinidae
Exons: 4
Source: RefSeq, a predicted model, not a curated record
UGCUGCGGCGGCGGUUUGAUGACGUGUUUCCGCUUCGGUCACGGCGCGGUUUGAAGCGGGGGAGCGGCGCGAGACACUCGGGCGUGAGAUGACGUCAGUGGGCCGAGCUGCUGCUGCUGAUGAUGCUCCUCUUCAUCAGUCGUGUGUUCCCGCUCUGACGCGCUCCUGGCCGUCGUCUCCUCUCUCAGCGCUGUCCUCGUCUCGUCAGGUCACCGCGCGCCUCUACAGCUCCUUACAGCACAGCCGAGAGCAGGAGGUCAAAGGUCACGCGGCCAGAGUGGAAGGAAGCACAUAGAGGAAAUGGAGAAUGUAAGGACACACUUACAGUCCAUACUGAGGAACACACCGACGUCAGCGGACCGACACGAUUUUCUGGCCCCUGCAUCACAGCACUUCCUGGAUGAUUCACACGAGAGCGACGCCACGUCACACCUGCUCAG